Molecule: long non-coding RNA, 6703 nt
Organism: Rhea pennata
Lineage: Eukaryota; Metazoa; Chordata; Aves; Rheiformes; Rheidae
Exons: 2
Source: RefSeq, a predicted model, not a curated record
AUAGACUCUGUCUGUGCUACAUGUUUGCCAUAGUUCUCUGUCCCCAUUUGACAUCAUUAGCUAUAUUUGCCUGAACCCAGUGUUGAGAUAUGCAAAGAGCAACAGCUAUUCUGAGGCAAGCUAAGCACUCAGACUUUGUCUAGACCACAAACAAAAUGAUAUCCAGGAAUGAUUUAAAGGCUUCAGUGGAACAGAGUUUUGUUAGACUUUAAGCUUGAAAGGUUCGGGUAUGAAUUGUGGCAGCAGUAAUAAACAGAUCAUUGUCCAGUUGUGGGCAGGAUGGUAUGGAGCUCAGGACAUGGAGCACAUCAGCUGUCCUCCCUGUCGAUAACUUUUCUCACGAUAGUCCAUCCUUUUCAGACCUUCUAGUUGUCCACAACUUCAGAACCUGAAGCCAUAACUUUCCUCUCAACUAAGACCAUCCUAGCCAACACAACACGAAGUCUCUGCCCUGACUGUUUUCUGUCUCGGUCACACUCCACCCAGACAUCGUUUCCAGGGGAAACUUCAGCUCCAAGGAGGCCCUGUCUUGGAUCCAGCUGCACAUUGUGAAGACAGCUUGGAGAGCGAGAGAGAGAAAGAGAGAGAGAGAGAGAGACAUGUCCUCACAACAGACUUAUCCUGGGGAAUGCUGAGAGCUUUCUGCCACAUCCUCCAGUUGAGAGCACGCUACUCUGAAAGGGGGGGGGGGGAGAGGUUGACCUAAAAGAAUGGAAUACUGCUGCUUCCUUUGCACAUGUGUGCACAAUCUUCAGCUCUCCCUUGCAUUCACUCAGUGUAUCUUUGGAGCCUGUCCGGCUUGGAAUUUAUCAGGUGAUCGGCUGAAAAGGAAGGGACAUUUUUAUUUGGCUUGUAUAAAAUAAAAUUUCAAAUUAAAUCAUUUAGAAGCAAGCAAAAAACCUGUAAUGAUCUGCUUUGAAAAUACAAAUCCGUUUGCCUGUCAGAAACGCAUGUUGAUUUCAUUAAACUUCCUAUGGCAACUGCCCUGACAGCCUGGCCAGCCGGCAGUCCUCUCCCCGAUCACACUGGUGCUCAGUGCCCAGGCAGGCAGAGGAACAGGCCAGCAGGAAGGCAGGCACUGACACAGAUUGUUCCAUUUUGCCAGGUAUUUGGUAAUGUUGAUGUUUCAUUCCGGCACAGAACAAAAUGAAAUGUUGACAACCUGGAAUUUCCCACAAAACAGACGUUUCCUUUUCCGGCCAGCUCUAACAUACACACACACGCGCACACACACUUGCAGAAUUAUUAACUGCUAUGUAAUGACACCAGACUAUAUGCCCACUUCCAACGUGUGGUAUGGAGGGAAUCCAGCCCUCAAAAAUCCUGCAUUAAAACAGUCACUGGAGAGCUGUGGAGUUUGGAAAGCUGUUAGGUUGCAUAGCUCUUUCUUCAUGGAGCAAGCUGGAGCUUUCUUUAAUUUAGCUGUGCGAACCAUCGGCACUGGAGGAAGGAGAGCUCGUCUUUUGUCUAGAAGCCCGGGGAGCGACUCAACACAGUAACUUCAUCUGUUACUUACAGAACAAAGUGCGAGAAGGGAAUCACUGUUUGGAUCAGCAGCAACUCCUUCUCCAUUCUCUGAGUCCUUCCCCCCCACCCCAAGAGCAGUUGCAAAGUGCCAAAAGCUAUCAGAAAGUCUGCUUUGCAUCAAGCAAACGCUACUGACCCUCUGAGCUAGCCCACAGGGAAGAACACCAGGAGGGAGAUUGCAGCUGAAGAUAGGACUACUUAAGUGGCAAUUCAUUGUGAACCACUUUUCUAAGCUGUUGAUAGAAGCAUUAAGUGUGAGAGAGGAAGGGGACUUAUCUUUCUGCCCAAGCAGAACCCUAAUGACUCCAUAAUGACUGCUAAAUAAUGUUGUCAAUAAUCUCUAUUUAAUUAUACAGCUCCUGUAUGCCCUAAAAAGGAAAGAAAACACAAAAGUAGUCUGCAGUCCUAACUUUCCCAGAAGUCCCUUAGCCUAGUUCUGUAACAUGUGUGUGCAUAUCUAGGAUUAGUUACUAUGGGGAACAUAAUUCACUUUCCAUCCUUCAUCUCAUCUGAAACAUCUACUCAUGUGAAAUAGAUUUGUCCUACUCUUGAAGCAACCAUCAGCAAAUGCUGUAUCUGCUAUAGCUUGUUAGCAGGCAGGUAAGCUCUUUCCAAGAUAAAAAUACAUGUAUUUUCACAACUCUGCUUUGGAAGGUUCUUCAGAAAGGUUUUAUCUUUGAGCAGAACUGACUACAAAAACAGGGUGUUUAAUGAACACAGCACCACUGUGUGUGAAAGUCUGAGGAAUAUUUUCAGACAGAUGCCUAUUGUAGGAGCUGGUGACUUACACAGUGGCCUUUUUAAAAGCCUAAAAAAUAUGAAUUCCUUCUUUAUCAUUAUUUACUUUUUUACCGAUUCUGAAAGUCUCAGAAUAGGCCCAGCUUUGAAAUAACAGCUUAUUAUUAUACUAUGCAUGCAAUAGGCUAAGGAGGAUAUUUUAUUUAAGCACAAAAAUCUAUUUUUGGCUUAGUAUUCCAAAGCUUUCUUAAUGCUCAAUUUACUAAAAUAUGUCUUCAGGCACAGGCCAGAUUUCGGCCAAUAAAAACACUGGUUUCAUCUGAAAUAUUAAACAAGCUAAUUGAUAAAAAACAUGGCAUAAUAGGUGAACGGUCUGUCAUUUGACUUCUACCACCAGUUCAGGAGAGUUAUUGUUAUUAUAAAUAAUAAAAGUUAGGGAAACAUAAGAAACCAGAUUUCCACUUACUGUGUGGACAGGGAGCCAAAUUCUGAAUUUUUUGAUUAAACUUAUAAUAUGCAAGACUGAAGCAGGAAUGGAGAAUAUCUUCAGAACUGUACUUUGAUGAAAAAAUUUCAACCAUAUGUGUUAAAUAUUUUGCUGCAGUUAAAGCUGAUGAAUUCUGCUAGUGGUUUUUUGCAAAUUUGCAGUGUAUCACCUGCGCUCUCCCUAAUGUGUAUACAGCAGGAGAAGUAGAAGUGAAUGUGUGAAUAUCUACAGAUCAGUGUAUUACUUUAAAUCAGGCAUGAAUUAGAUUAAUAAGAGGGGGAGCGAGUCUAUGAACUGCCUUUUAUCAGCAUCUCAUAGACCUGAUAAUGAGUGUCUCUUCCAAAACAGGGAAGGCAGAUGCCAAAGGCCAGUGCAAAGAGUGAACGGGGGCAGAAGCAAGUCAGAGUCAGUUCAUGACCAACUCGGCCAUAGGCAACCCCUUUUCUUAAGCCAUUUUGAGAGUCUUACCCUGGGCAAAGAGCUGCCUUCUCAUGCCUCCAGGGAGGAGUGCCAGACACUGGGGUUAAUUACAAUAUAAUUACAAUUAUAAUAUAAAGCCACUAGCUUUACGGAGGAAGCAGUAAAAGAAGCACAAUGACAUCUCCUCAUCUCAUUGCCAGUGUCACAGUAAGGACAUAUAGACAAAAAAUUGAGGGAGAGCCAGUCACAGCUAAUGAUAAUCUCAUGCAUCUAGGGAGUCAGCCACUUGGCUUCUCCAAGUGAGGUCCCUUGGAGACACGCAGGCAGGGAGGGGUCCAGAGGCAGGCUCCUUUAUAGCAGUAAGUGGCUCCUUUCCCUGUGAAACAGAGACAGGGAAGAAAAACAAAAGAGAGCACGAGAAGAAGAUGCCAAGAGAAUAAGCUGAGUUCAGUGCAUAAUACAAGUCCCAAAAGGCAGUGGGAAAUGAGGAAAGGCUCUAUAUUCCUCCAGUGGAAAAUAUUAGAGCAUGCACAUGGUCUGAAAUGCCCUUAUUAGUCAGACAGCAGCCAUUUCUCUUUUGCUUGCCUCAUUUUUUUCCAUUAAAAAAUAAAAGAAAAUUGGCCAGUUGAUGUGAUUCAGCUCCUGAACUGGCUUUUCUAGAGGUAACACUUCCUGUCUGAGGUACUGUUUCUGGCAGGAUGGAUUUCCUGGCUGAGAUUUUCAAAGUCACCUAGGGAACCUGUGUAUUCACACACAUACCAUGUAUUUAAGCAGGAAUUGUCAUCUAAAUCCCAUGAGCAGAUGUGAAAUACUCUCUUUCUAUCCUCUCUUUUCACUUACUCAUUCCUUGCUGCAUCUUUUAUCUUCCUGUUUUCUGUUUCGUACUUUCUUCUCACAAUCUUUCUUUCCAUUAAGCUUCCUCACAUUUCACUUCUUAAUGAUUUUUUCUCUCUUAUUUUUUUCCAGUAACUGCCAGCUUUUUCUAUGCCUUUGACUUUCCUUUCUCUCCAGGUGCUGUUUCCCUCUCCACUCUCACACCUUUGUAUCAUCAGCCUGCCCUGUCUGGCCAGUUGCCCCUUAUAUAAGAGCUGAACUAGCUCUUUUUCCAAUGUUACCUUUAAAAUGAGAAUUAAUUGCAAUGCAUCCCUCCCAGCAGUGAGGCUUUGUAGGCCAUCCAAACUCCAUCAUGUGAUAUGCAGAAACACCUUCCACACAGUUCCUUGGGAUCAUGGGGACCAGGGAGAGAAAGACUAAGUGAAGAGAAACAGGUAUAUGUCUCCUUUUCUUAGCUACAAAUAACUACCUAAAUAAUACUCAAAUGGUUCUGAAUGCUGACAUAUGCACCAGGUUUUCUACCAAUGCACCAAAUUUUCCACUGACUUCUCUAAUAUGCUGCAAAGAUAAAGCUGUGCUGAUUUGGCUGGUUCAGACACCUGCCUGACUAUGACUUCCUGUGAGUGCUCUUUAUACCUAAUGCCCUACUUCAUACCUAACGUAUGCAAAUAUCAACAUUUGCAACCAGUCUGAACCACUGAUUUAGAGCUUUCUCUCCUAUUACUAGAUUGUUGGUGUGAUAAAAUGAGACUGUACAACAAUCCCAAGAGUGCAACUGUCUUUAAUGCUGUUCCUACUUUGGAAAACAAGCAUCCUGAUAACAAUCAAAAUAACAUAUCUGAAUGCACUUCACCUUUGUUUUUCAGAAUAAAACCUGUCCUGAUGUCGAUCCAUGCAGUAUGUGAAUAUACACUUAGCCACAUGGGCACAAAAAAGCCACUUAAUUAAGAAAUGUAUAAAGAGUGAUAACUGUAGAUUAAUUUUAAACAUUUCUUUAUGAAAAAUAGAAAAACUUUAUGAGUCUUGCUGCAUAUCUAAGAGAUUUAAUAUUUCAAUUUUAUAUUUUAUACUAAAACUCAAACCAUUACACAUUUUUUUACCUUAAGAUAUUUAGGUCCUUUGAGGUCAGAGCUUCUUUUUGUAGUACUUAGUUACCCAAAGCUGUUAGAGUCUGCCAACUCUAUAGCACAGAAUUUAUAGCACUGGGUCAAAGACAGUUCCUGGAGGUAUUCAGCAGCCCUUUGUAGUAAAUCAGCAGUCAUGUCUUUGAUAAAUGUCUCCUGAGUCCAGCAGUAACUAUUCCUCAGUGCUGAGAGAUAAAACAGUAGUGAAAGACACACAGCAACAAGGAACUAGUAAAUAACUUCUAAGGAAGUUAUGGUUAACCCAGUGCUCGUGAAUACUGAACUUAACAGUUCUUGAAAACAACAUGGAAGCCUAUCUGGGCACUUGAAUUCCAAUGUGCUGCUCACGUAUAAAAGGUGCAGCACCCUGGAGGAUAAUAAGGCAAUCAUUAUAACACAAAUGAGGGAUAUAAAGCUUUUUCAGGUUGAUAAGAACCUCUCUAGACCUUUCUAUUUCAUCUGCAUCAUGAACUUCCACAUUCAGUCUGUUACUUGAUAAUUCUAUUAAAAUGUGGACCUACAAGCAAUGAACACAGGGUUCAUCCAGGCUCCAUGUUAAUACUCUAGGAUCUGGUCCUGCAGCUGCAACUGAUAUAAGCAAUCAUUGCUUACAUGAGCACUGUGCACACAAAGCUCUUUUGGCCUCUCAUCUUCAGAUCUACUCUACCAAUCAGCAGUAUUUAAGUCAGUGGCGAUAUUUUCAUGGCCUUAAGUAGGCCCAUAAAGAGAUGCCAUGGAGUAAAGAGAUACAGAAGGACUACUGGCUGGCUUGGUCAUAGCUGGAGGGUGACCUUUCUAGGUCAGCUUUCACCAAGCCGAAGCACUGCUCCCCUGUGAGAUGUCAUAGCAGCUUGGCAUUUCAACACUCCGAGAGGACAGGCCAUGUUGGAAGUCAUAGCCUUGUUUGCACCCUGUCAAUGCCUCAUCGCUUCAGCCUCAGGGGGUGUGAGAGCUGAUUAAGUCAAACACUUCCAUGCGUAAUCAGGGUUCAGGUACCUUCAGCCCUUGGGCAGGGUAAGGUUUUGAAUAACUGGAGUCCUUUGUCACUGCAUGGUUUCAUAAGUUUCUACCAUCAGAAUAUUAUAGUAGAGGAAGCCAGAGACUAAGGCAAAAAGAAAAUGAAUAGGUUGUACAAUUCUUUUGGCUGAGAUUUAUGGGCCCAUCUCAUCUAGAGUGAAUAGGCAGCAGUUUAAUUCGGCAGCAUGAAAAUUUGUCCACUGCUAGCAAACAAAUCUCUUUACUUUUUCUAUUAAAAAAGUCAGUGUCGUUAAAAACCUGAAUUAACUCCCAUCCAAGCCAUCAGAUAAUCAUCCAGGUACUGGAACGACGCUAGGAAAAAUAUUAUUUCAUAUUCUUUUCUUCUCAACUCAGUAUCUGGCAUCUUUCCACCAGGAGAGAGAAGACUUGGCUCUAAGAGGAAUGGCAUCAGACUGCAGCAAUUCUCUUGCACUGUUUUGAGAUCACUUUUUUAAUUCCUUUUUGUGUGUGUGUGUGAGAGAGAGAGAUUUCAUGUAAUUAUCUCAGGAGCAAAAGCCCAACCAGUCUCAUUCAUUAAAGAUUUUCUUAAAUGCUC